RNAcentral lists this ribosomal RNA (497 nucleotides) under uncultured bacterium. RNAcentral describes it as "partial 16S ribosomal RNA". It matches the Rfam family "Bacterial small subunit ribosomal RNA", at positions 28 to 507 of the family's 1533-position model. The record is from RNAcentral.
GAUGAACGCUGGCGGCGUGCCUAAUACAUGCAAGUCGAGCGAACAGACGAGGAGCUUUCUCCUCUGACGUUAGCGGCGGACGGGUGAGUAACACGUUGAUAACCUACCUAUAAGACUGGGAUAACUUCGGGAAACCGGAGCUAAUACCGGCUCAUAUAUUGAACCGCAUGGUUCAAUAGUGAAAGACGGUUUUGCUGUCACUUUUAGAUGGAUCCGCGCCGCAUUAGCUAGUUGGUAAGGUAACGGCUUACCAAGGCAACGAUGCGUAGCCGACCUGAGAGGGUGAUCGGCCACACUGGAACUGAGACACGGUCCAGACACCUACGGGAGGCAGCAGUAGGGAAUCUUCCGCAAUGGGCGAAAGCUUGACGGAGCAACGCCGCGUGAGUGAUGAAGGUCUUCGGAUCGUAAAACUCUGUUAUUAGGGAAGAACAAAUGUGUAAGUAACUAUGCACGUCUUGACGGUACCUAAUCAGAAAGCCACGGCUAACUACGUG